This 406-nucleotide ribosomal RNA is filed under the name uncultured bacterium. RNAcentral's name for it is "partial 16S ribosomal RNA". It matches the Rfam family "Bacterial small subunit ribosomal RNA", at positions 29 to 526 of the family's 1533-position model. The record is from RNAcentral.
AUUGAACGCUGGCGGCAGGCCUAACACAUGCAAGUCGAACGAGUGGCGGACGGGUGAGUAAUGUCUGGGAAACUGCCCGAUGGAGGGGGAUAACUACUGGAAACGGUAGCUAAUACCGCAUACCAUCGGAUGUGCCCAGAUGGGAUUAGCUAGUAGGUGGGGUAACGGCUCACCUAGGCGACGAUCCCUAGCUGGUCUGAGAGGAUGACCAGCAACACUGGAACUGAGACACGGUCCAGACUCCUACGGGAGGCAGCAGUGGGGAAGAUGGCACAAUGGGAGCAAGCCUGAUGCAGCCAUGCCGCGUGUAUGAAGGAGGCCUUCGGGGUGGAAAGUACUUUCAGCGAGGAGGCGUUACUCGCAGAAGAAGCGCCGGCUAACUCCGUGCCAGCGGCGGCGGUAAUAC